AAGCUGUGCGCCUUGGCACUGGAAGAAUUCACAGAUAGACAUGAAAAUCGUGGAUCUCCCUGUGCCAAAGCUUACGGAAA
This 80-nucleotide microRNA precursor is filed under the name Zootermopsis nevadensis. Its description in RNAcentral is "mir-263 microRNA precursor family". It matches the Rfam family "mir-263 microRNA precursor family". The record is from Rfam by way of RNAcentral. Lineage: Eukaryota; Metazoa; Arthropoda; Insecta; Blattodea; Termopsidae.